UACGGAGGGGGCUAGCGUUGUUCGGAAUUACUGGGCGUAAAGCGCACGUAGGCGGCUGUUUAAGUCAGAGGUGAAAGCCUGGAGCUCAACUCCAGAAUUGCCUUUGAGACUGGAUAGCUCGAACGUCGGAGAGGUGAGUGGAAUUCCGAGUGUAGAGGUGAAAUUCGUAGAUAUUCGGAAGAACACCAGUGGCGAAGGCGGCUCACUGGACGACUGUUGACGCUGAGGUGCGAAAGCGUGGGGAGCAAACAGG
RNAcentral lists this ribosomal RNA (253 nucleotides) under uncultured bacterium. RNAcentral describes it as "partial 16S ribosomal RNA". It matches the Rfam family "Bacterial small subunit ribosomal RNA", at positions 524 to 776 of the family's 1533-position model. The record is from RNAcentral.